RNAcentral lists this ribosomal RNA (253 nucleotides) under uncultured bacterium. RNAcentral's name for it is "partial 16S ribosomal RNA". It matches the Rfam family "Bacterial small subunit ribosomal RNA", at positions 524 to 776 of the family's 1533-position model. The record is from RNAcentral.
UACAGAGGUCUCGAGCGUUGUUCGGAUUCAUUGGGCGUAAAGGGUGCGUAGGUGGCGUGGUAAGUCUGGUGUGAAAUCCCGGGGCUCAACCCCGGAACUGCACUGGAUACUGCCAUGCUUGAGUACUGGAGAGGAGAUUGGAAUUUACGGCGUAGCAGUGAAAUGCGUAGAUAUCGUAAGGAAGACCAGUGGCGAAGGCGAAUCUCUGGACAGUUACUGACACUGAGGCACGAAGGCCAGGGGAGCAAACGGG